AUAAUAAUAUUUGCAAUGUUAGAAGGUGCAUAACCACUUAAUUAUUAGGAUAUAAUGCAAGACAAAGUGUGGAAAGAUGCAAUGAAGGAGGAACUCAAUUCAAUUUAAAAAUAUGGCACAUGGAAACUAACUUAACUACCAGAAAGAAAGAAGUAAAUUGAUGUGAAAUAGAUUUUCAAAGUAAUGUUGAGUCUAGAAGGAAUAAUAGUGAAUCACAAAGCAAGACUUGUGGCAAGGGGUUUCCUUCAAAGACAAGGUAUG
Molecule: long non-coding RNA, 261 nt
Filed under: Lathyrus oleraceus (garden pea)
Lineage: Eukaryota; Viridiplantae; Streptophyta; Magnoliopsida; Fabales; Fabaceae
Description: Pisum sativum (pea) long non-coding RNA (PSAT_LNC030730)
Source: RNAcentral